UCUCUGCGCCUCUCUCCGCCCCGCCUCCCUCCUAGGUGAAAGAAGAUGAUUUCCCCCCCAUCUUGACCACCCCCCAGCUUUCGCCGCCAAACACGGACUCCGCCGGCUCUCCUCGGCCCGGUACCAGUUGUUGGAUCCAAGAGAAUUCCGGAACCCAAACGGCUCGCUCAAAGCACUUUUUUGGCAGUGAAACCUCAAGUAACCCGGAGCCCUCGGCGUGUCCACGGCUAGAAUCAGAGCCUAAGGCGUGUGAGCUCGGCCAUCCCACGCCUGUCUUCUCGCUUACCCGCAAGCCUAACACACCGGGGCUCCCAGUUAAUGAAGUGUAGGGCUGUCCCCACCGCUUCUCACUUCCUUGUUUUCAUCUUUUCGUUUUUAUUAAGCUACCUAACGCAAUAAACAUAUUACCUUGUUGGUAA
Long non-coding RNA from Mandrillus leucophaeus (drill), 419 nucleotides. RefSeq lists it as uncharacterized. NCBI's taxonomy places the organism in Eukaryota, Metazoa, Chordata, Mammalia, Primates, Cercopithecidae. The transcript is spliced from 2 exons. The record is from RefSeq and is a predicted model, not a curated record.